RNAcentral lists this long non-coding RNA (328 nucleotides) under Capsicum annuum. RNAcentral describes it as "long non-coding RNA (CANN_LNC002126)". The record is from RNAcentral. Lineage: Eukaryota; Viridiplantae; Streptophyta; Magnoliopsida; Solanales; Solanaceae.
UAUAUAUAUAUAUAUAUAUACACACACAGAGUUUUUCGAUCGAAGUUUGCGGGUGCCAUGUCACCCCUGAACCCCCAUUAGAUCCGCCUCUGCGUCAAAAUAUACACGCACGACUAAUUUUAAACUUGAGAUAUCAAUACCUUUUUGUCUUGCAGCAUCACCUCCAUGGAAAUGAGAUUGUCUUCCUUUCCUAAAUAAUUCAUAAUCACACGACUCGCACCUUUAAAUACUAUUACAUCUUUGUCCCUGAAACCUCUUUAAUAAAGUCAAUUUAGCAGUUAUAUUUUUAAUAAAGUGAAGGAGUGAAGUUAUUGCUUUUCUGUAGAUG